This is a long non-coding RNA of Dreissena polymorpha, 166 nucleotides long. RefSeq lists it as uncharacterized. NCBI's taxonomy places the organism in Eukaryota, Metazoa, Mollusca, Bivalvia, Myida, Dreissenidae. The transcript has 3 exons. The record is from RefSeq and is a predicted model, not a curated record.
CGCCAAUUGUAUUCCCUCACCUUUGUGUUUUUCCUGUGUUUGUUGACAAUAGGAACUCGUGCUAUAGUAUUUAUUGGAUCAAAUAUCAAACAAGGAACAUGUCAUAGCCGAGUUGAUCCGCAUAUGAAAACAGCUGAUGGACGUACGUUCGAAAAUCAAAAUACAG